This is a non-coding RNA of Arachis ipaensis, 1282 nucleotides long. NCBI's taxonomy places the organism in Eukaryota, Viridiplantae, Streptophyta, Magnoliopsida, Fabales, Fabaceae. The record is from RefSeq and is a predicted model, not a curated record.
GCUCCUCGUUUCAAUCACGGUACUUCUCCAAAUCUCUACACUCAUCCCUUCCAAAUCCUCCAUCAGCGGCGCAUCUCAGCUUUCUAAUUUCAUGCAAUUAAUUCCUCUUUUUCCAAUGGAUCUUCUUCGUCACGCUCUCUUCCGUUCCUCCUCCUCCUCCGCCGCCGCUCUGCUGCCAUUGUUCGGUUGUUCCUCUGAGUUUUUGGCGUCUUCCGCCGCUGCCGCGACCACUCGCGUCGGACGAUCUCUCUCUAUCAUCCCUUGCGUCGCACGAGCCCCCUCCCUGUGAUUCUGUUGUUUAGGUUUCUAUCACAUGCUGGUAUCUCAAAACAAAUGGUAAUUUUGCCCUUUCCAUUCUCUUUCUUCUAUUUAAAUGUUUCUAAUUUCCAGCUUAGGGAUUCGAUCACCUGUUCUGAGCUUGUUCCACGAUUCUACUCUAUUUGUGAUUUUUUUGUGUGGAUAAAUGCAUUGCUUUCAAUCCUUCAUCUUGGUUAAUUAUUUUGGAACCCUAGAAUUGCACAUUCUUAAUUAAUCAGUGUUCUAGCAAUACAGUGAAAUUCUUUGAACUCUUAUAGAUAUAGAAUGGAAUUGAACUUCUAGAUUAUGGCUUCUCUUAAUCACUUAUUGCAGCAGAUAAAUUUAUCUAUGCAGAAAUUACAGUAUUAGGAUUAUUUAUUGCAGUAUUAUUCUCUCUUCUGUGAUUUGGAAGUUGUAGAAGUAGUUAGGUGAUAUGUUAAGAUAGAAUAUUGAAAGGUUCCUUUUUUUUUCUCCUUCUGUUUUAUGACCUUCUUUUCAGCUUAAAUAUUAAUGAAAAAUAAAAUUAGCUUUGUCUAUGACCUACUUGGCUGAGGAGUGAGGAGCAGAUAUUCCGAUAUGAUAUCAAGUUUGGUGGAAAAGCCCAAACAGCUUUUCAUGAAAGAUAUCAGGAUGCUGCCCAAGUAUAAUGUCACUGCCACGUUAAGAGUUUCUUCAUGUGAAACCUGGAAAAGGAGCAGCAUUUGUGAGAACCAAGCUCAAGAACUAUGUUACAGGGAAUACAGUUGAGAAGACUUUUAGAGCUGGAAGCUCGGUAAUCUAUUCUAAACUGCAGUUUUAGGGCUCAUGCUUGGAGUUGUUAUGUUCAUAAUUGUCACUUGAAUAGGAAAAGGAAAUGUUCUGGAGUUUUAGUAGCUAUUAUCCUCUAUUAAUAAUAUUACAUAACACAACUCUCCUCUAUUAUCCGAGUUCUGGAGAAGCUAUGCAAAGCACAUCAGUGAAAAAAUUGCUAAUCCGAGUUUUAGUA